Molecule: long non-coding RNA, 1469 nt
Organism: Sapajus apella (tufted capuchin)
Lineage: Eukaryota; Metazoa; Chordata; Mammalia; Primates; Cebidae
Exons: 2
Source: RefSeq, a predicted model, not a curated record
GAGUCCACAGUCAAAGGAAGCAAAAAUGCAGCAUUUCCAGGAAGUUGUCAUCUUGAAGUUUCUGGAGCCACCUCUUAUUUGUUCUGUGAAUGUCAGCUUCGUGAAGGCAGAGGUUUUUAUCUGCCUUGUUUGCUGCUAUAUUCCCUGUGCCAAAAACAUUGCUUGGCACAUGGUGGGUACUCAUUAAAAGAUCUGUUGAAUAAAUAGGUGAAUUAGGGGAGUAAGCAGGAGAGCUCCCUUUGGAAAUGUUUCACACAGGAAAGAAUACUGGAGUUGGACCUUGCCAAAAGAGAAGGGUCUCGGUGGACAGCUGUAGUUAAAUGGCUUUUUGGUCUCAGGGAACAGCUGAAGUGAUGGCCCAGGGAGGGGAAACUGCAUGGUGUGUUCAGGGAACAGAGUUGUCCAGCAUAGAGGAAUGUAGGACAUUCGAUGACAAUGGUGUCAGAUAAAGUUAGGACCAGAUCACUGAGAGUUUUCAAAGCCAGGUGGCAGUGCUGUGUGUUUUCCUGCAGGUAUUGGGUUCUGGAGAAAGAAAUUUGACAUCCACUUACUGGGAAGACUGACUGCAUGCACAGCCUCACCCACCGGGAGAUGGCAGAAGAUCUCCGAUUCCAUUUACCAGGUACCUUUUGAGCAUCCACUGUGUCCACAGAAAAAAAAACUAGUGGCAGAAGGUGUAGCAGGAAGGGCCCUGGCAGGGAAAGAGGCAGGAGGUGGGUCCCAAGCUGGGCCUCCUAGCCUGCUGUCAGUCUCAUGAUGGAGACAGGCCAGCUGAUCUUAAGGGCCCCUGCAGCCCUGACAUUCUGGGACUCUAAUUAUAGAAGACAAAGCUUCAUUCCAGAUAGCUGGGGAAAUCCUUGGGUUCAAUUUCACCUCCAGGGGCUUGCAGUUCAGUGGGCACUGAGGCGGUUAAAAAGGAAUGGAAUGGAAAUCCAGAGCAUGCCUCAGCCUAAUCGUUUCUCAGCUGACUGUUUGCUUCUAGAUAUCAGCAACUCUUUUAGGAAUGCGAAACAGCAGCCUUUUCACAGGCAAGGGUCGAGGUUUGGUUCCUGAUCUUUUCUCUUUGCAUUGUGAAGAGGGUAGGCCAUGCGGGCCAAGAGGAAAUCAAAGACCAGAUUCCUCCCAGACUUCCUUUCCAAAAACCUCAAAGGAAGGGUAGAGCUGUAGUCAUAUGGACAGGACCACUCUUCUCAUAAAUAAGUCUCAGCUUUCACAGAAACCAAUCAAACGGGCAGCUGAUAGGGAAGCCCCUAUUCCAACAGGCCCACCCGGUCUGCCUGUUCUGGGUCUGCCCAAGUGGGGCCCAUGGGAGGCCAGUGGCUUUGGGUGUCAUUUCUGACACAGAAGCCAUGCAUACACAAAGAAAGCAGCUUAGAGAAAAGGGCUAUGAACAGUCAAACAAUUGGUUACUGGAAAAUCACCAAGGCAACCCAUGAAAAACAAAAUAAAUACAUGCCUCUAACAAGCUA